Molecule: ribosomal RNA, 783 nt
Filed under: uncultured bacterium
Lineage: Bacteria
Description: bacterial SSU rRNA
Rfam family: Bacterial small subunit ribosomal RNA
Source: RNAcentral
GAGUUUGAUCCUGGCUCAGAUUGAACGCUGGCGGCAUGCCUAACACAUGCAAGUCGCGCGGGGUGUAGCAAUACAUCUAGCGGCGGACGGGUGAGGAAUACACAGGAAUUUGCCUUUAGGUGGGGGAUAGCCCAGGGAAACUUGGAGUAAUACCGCAUGAUGUCGAGAGACCAAAGCAGGGGAUCGCAAGACCUUGCGCCUUUAGAGGAGCCUAUGUCUGAUUAGCUAGUUGGUAGGGUAAUGGCCUACCAAGGCGACGAUCAGUAACUGGUCUGAGAGGACGAUCAGUCACACCGGAACUGAGACACGGUCCGGACUCCUACGGGAGGCAGCAGUGGGGAAUAUUGGACAAUGGGCGCAAGCCUGAUCCAGCAAUGCCGCGUGUGUGAAGAAGGCCUUCGGGUUGUAAAGCACUUUAGGCUGGGAAGAAAAAGUCGGAGCUAACAUCUCCGACCUUGACGGUACCAGAAGAAUAAGCACCGGCUAACUCUGUGCCAGCAGCCGCGGUAAUACGUAGGGUGCGAACGUUAAUCGGAAUUACUGGGCGUAAAGCGUGCGCAGGCGGUUUUUCAAGUCUGAUGUGAAAUCCCCGGGCUUAACCUGGGAACUGCGUUGGAAACUGAAAGACUAGAGUGCGGCAGAGGGGGGUAGAAUUCCACGUGUAGCAGUGAAAUGCGUAGAUAUGUGGAGGAAUACCGAUGGCGAAGGCAGCCCCCUGGGUCGACACUGACGCUCAUGCACGAAAGCGUGGGUAGCAAACAGGAUUAGAUACCCUGGUAGUCG